AGUAUUGUAACAACUCUAAUUCUUUCCCUUCUAAUUUCUAUCACACAUGUUUUUCUUUUUUUUUAAAUUUAUUUUAGAACUGCUGCUUGCAUGCGCAUGUAUGUGCAUGGAUGUGCGUGUUUUUGAACGCUAUGUCGCUGGGUUAGCAGAAUCAUCACUACAUAUUAUUCCACACUAAUCCAUCAUUAUCUAUAGUCACAGUUUUAAUGACAUAAAUAACCGUUUAUACGUGCUCAAUACACUAUUAAAUUGUAUUUAUAUAUCUAAUCACAGAUAUAAUACCAUUAACACUUCUUGGAGAUUACUUUUUCUAUUAUUACAUCCAGGCAGCUAUCAGAAUUAUUGUCCAAGUUUUAUUUGUGUUAAAGUAACUCACAUUUUAGUAUUUUUCUUUUUCUUCUUCUUUUUCCUAUCGAGUCUAGAAUCUCUAAGGACUAUACAGAGAUGAGUAUGAAAUACGAGCAUCGAUAAUGGGAAAGUAAAAAAUUCCUAAUAAAAUUUUAUUUAAUUAAAAUAAAAUUUAAACAUGAGGGAGGAUUAAGUAAAAUAUAUAAACUUAUAUGACCUUCCUCUCUCGUAAGUUCUAUCUCAUAUAUGUAUAUCUCUUUUUUAAAAAUACACGUAGCAUAUAUAAACAUAUGAGUGGAAAAAUAAAGAAUAAAAAUGUUACGAACGACAUCGAUGUUUGCAUUCUGAACGUAUUUAUUUUACAUGAAAACACGCGAUGUAUCCAAUCAUUUCUGUUUCUAUAGUUUGCAGUAUAUAAAAUUCAACAUAUCGAUUAUUUUAUUAUGUAGUGAAAUUAGAAAGAUCCACUAUUGUUUUAUAUUAUAUUAUGCAUAAGAGUAUAAUGAAUUAAAUUACGAGGAUCCAUUAUUAUAUUAUCGUUUUAACAUAAUUGCUGGCACAACCAGAGUGCAGUUCUUAGUCGCGUACGUUAUGAGCAUCCAAAAAAUUUUAUCGCCACUCUUAAUAAUUAGUUACAUCUGCGGUUGUAGAGUAGCCGAAUUUUCCACAGGUGUCCCGAGACAAUUCGGUUUUCUGUACAUGCUGUUAUUAUGGUCAUGUUAUAUAUUUGUUUAUAUAUAUGGAAUAAUACCUUAUACAAUUCAUUACUCCAUCGUGUACCAUAUUUGUUUUGGAAUUAACAUUUUUACAGCUUUAUUGACAAUUAUCGUUGGAAUAUACCAUGACAAGGUAAGAGAUUUAGAAAAAUAUUAAUGUAAUGAUAUCACUGAUUAAAAAAUGGAAUAUAAAUUAUAGCUAUUUUAUAAUAUUUAUAUAACAAAAAGACUGCCGUAUUAAGAUGCCAUAUAAGAUUGUAAAAAAUUUACGACAUAUUAUAUUAUAUAUUAUAAAUUAUCGACAAACUUUAUUUCUGCUAAAUAUCUAAUAUUAAAAUUAUUAUUUGAGAGAUAGGACAGUACACGCAUGUGUAAGUGUAAUGCAUAUUUGCAUUUUACGUUACAUUUUUUUCAAUAUAGAAUGAUUAAGUUAUUAGACAUUUUAUAAAAUUGUAAAGAUUUCGAGGAAUACAUAUCAUUAAUAUAUUGCUAUUUUCUUACAUUAGGCAUUUAAAAAUUGUAUUAAAAGCCUGAAUAUUGUGGACGAUACAUUGGAAAAAUUGGGAAUAAUAACAGAUUAUAAUAAACUGCGUAUGAGAACAUUAUGGCUCAUUUUAGGAUCGUUUUUAAUAACCAUAUUAAUAAUCGGAGGAAAAAUACGAUUUUUGAAAGAUGAAUAUAAUACUGACAUUGCGCCGCUUAUCUACUUUCCUUUUAUGCGCCGUUAUUGCGCCUAUGUUAACAUUAUCAGCGAUUUCAUUAUAACAAGUAUGCUUGGGUUAGUUCAUACUUUUAAAUAUACAAAAAUAUUUGCUAAUAAUUAUUACCUAUUAAUUUUCUCAAUCUUUAGGUACGUGAGCUUGAAAUUUGAUCAAAUCAACAAAUAUCUUGAGAAAUUAAACAAAAGUAAUGAUAGAAUAAAGCGAGUUUGGGAACAUCCUGUGUUACUUUGUCAUCAAUCUAGAUAUGCAAAAAUUCCGAGAAUCAAAUAUAUGAUAUGGAUUUUAAUGUAUAAGAGCACAAACUUCUAUAUAUUAUAUUAGACCGCAUUAUAUUUCAUCAUAUGAAUUUUAUACAUGUUAGCAAUCUAAUAUAAUAUAUUGAUGUUUGUGUGUAAAACAAUUUAUAUUAAUAUAAUCGAUCAUGGUUGCAUUUGGCGUGAUAAGUUAAUAUUAUGUUUACACAGACAUCUUCAUUUGGAAUUACGUAAAAUAUCCUACAAAAUAAAUUCAAUAUUCGGAAUACAAAUGACUCUUGAAAUGGGAUGUUGCUUUGCUUCCAUAGCGUUGGCGUCUAAGAGAAAUUUUUAAUGCGAUACUCAUUAACGAUUAUAUCAAUAAUAAUAAUAAAAUGCUUUAUAUCACCAUAAUACUAUUAUGGCUUUCCGUAGACGUCUUCAGACUUUUCCUCAUUAAUUAUUUUUGUGAGAAGAUUAGCAGCAAGGCAAAUGCAACAGGAAAUAUUAUAAAUAAAUUAUCGCAUUUUAAUUGCGAUGUUGAAACUCGUGAAAAUGUAAGUUUUAACAUUUUAUAUAUUAAAUUGUUUUCGAAAUAUAAACUUUUAUUUAUGUCUAAAUAUAUAAAAAACAGUAAACCGAGAACAUAUAUAUUAAAUAAUCCAUCGUGUUGCAAUACAGAUACUACAGUUUUUACUUAUGAUUCAAUCACCAAUCAGAUUCUGUGGGCUUGGACUUUUCCAGUUUGGCUUUCAAAUUUCUUCAAGGAGUAGGUUAUAAUGAUAUAUUUAUCCGUUACAAGUCCGUUAUCUAAGAAUAUGUGUGUGAUAAAUAUUUAAAAAGAGAAACUACUGUUUUUUUUUUUGCAGUUCACUACAUCUGUUGCGACCGUUUUAGUUAUAUUAGUACAAUCGCAUAUGAAUAAGUAAACAUCUUAGACAAAUUGUAAUAAACAUAAUAUGCAAACACAAUUUGAUUAGCCACCGGCAUAUAAUAUUCAAUACAUGAUAUCUUAUAAAAUACAUUUGUCAUAUAAUAUUUAGUAUGUAAUAACUUAUAUAAUUAACGUGACAUGAUUUAAACAAUUAUACAAUUAAACAAUUAUAUAUAUUUUGUUGGAGAGCAUGCUGCAAGAUAAGGCAUUAAUAUUUUUCAUCCUAUUUUUAAAAAAUCAAAAUUUGACUUAUUUAAUUAAAUUGAAAAAUAAUAUAAAAUGAUAAAUAAUAUCAUUUCUACUAUUAUAACAAAAAUAGCUUUUGUGACUGUUUUUCGUAUUUUUUUGUUAUUCAAUUAUUUUACCUGUAAUUGAUAUGUAUUAUAAAAGUCGAUGUGCUAUUUCUUAUUGUUUGAUGAUAUAUAUAUAUAUAUAUAUAUCAUAAAACUGGAUAUAUUAUUAAGAAAAUUUAUUUUAAAAAAUUUAUUUUAUUUCACAUGCCCAUAUACAUAAUACAUGUAAAAAUAAUUUAAUAAUAAUUUAUAUUAUCGCUGUCCGUAGUAUAACUAUUUAAAAUGACAAAAUAUCACGCGCAGCUAAUAAAACAUUAUUAAAUCCAUAAUAUUUUUCCACAUUUUUGAUAUACAAUUAUGGAUCUAGCUCGGACAUGCACCAACCGGCCGUUUUACCGUGGCACCGAAAAGUGAAUUUGGCCAUAUAGUUCCGCCAGCUUUAUUUGACUUCCAUGAUAAUCAAGAUGCCUAUAAAAUUAGGACGAGAGUUAACGAUGAAUUUUUUAUUAAGCAAAUUUACCACAUGUACCACAUGUACCACAAGUUAGCAGGGUUAAGGGAUUGAGAGUUAAUGGUUGAUGCUCUAAUUGUGGAUGUUCUCCUGAACACAGAGAUAGGAUAGCUAAAAUGGUCAGGCUUGUCGAAAGUUUAAUCCUAAAGAUACUCUUUCUUAAAAUUGAGCUGAGGGCUUGAUAAUGUUAAUGUUUUAUAUUAUGUCUCAGAAUUAAGUUUAUGUUUAAGAUACCAUUAAAAAAUAUAAUUGUUAGACAAUAAUUUUAAGUUUAAGAUUCGCGAGAGAGAGAGAGAGACAAUUCAAAAAAAAAACAGCUGAUAUAGAAAAAAGAAAACUAAAACAAAAAAAUGUUAGAAUAAAAAAGAUUUGACGGCAUCUUUUUACCUUUUUAAAUUGAAGUUCCAACAUCAAAUAAUGAGCUAUGUAUAUCGCAAACUUUAUAUCGAUAUUCAAGGAAACAAGAUGUACAAGUGGAAAUAUUUAUUAUAAAUCAAGCUUAUACAUGUAUGUUUGUCAUUAAAUAACAAUAUAUUUGCACCUGAGAGCUACAGUACGCUUCGAAAGCUCCAGUAUAUGCUAGUAUGUAUUACGCAACAUUGCAUAUAUGAUAAAACAUGAUAAAACAGUACCUACGUAUUAUAUUCAUUCAUGAGCCAAUAAUAUACUUCAUAUAUAUUUCAAACAUUAUUUACUGUUCGGCACGAUUAUUGCAAGUUCGCCACCAAAAUUUAAAUUUAUUAUUUCAUUGUACAUUGUACAUAAAACAUAAGUUUUAUUUAUUUAUUAUUUAUUUAGUUUAAGAUAUAUAAUGAAAUUUGAAUUUAUAGGAAUAGUUUCAAAAAUAUUCACAUUCUCCAAUUUUUGUGAAAUAAACCAGAUACUUUUUUAAAAAAUUUUGACAAACGAGUUUUAAACACAGAUUGUAAUAAAUGCAAGGUGUGUGUUAUUCACACAUUCAAAAAAUAUUAUGAGUUAUUCAUUCAUCAAGAAAAGUGUUAUAACAAUGUCCAGAAUGAUGUGAUUAACCCCAAUUAAUCUAAUUUAUUGCGCUUCACUUGAUACAUAUAUACAAUAAAAUAAUAAAUUCAAAUCUUGGCAUCUGGGACUAUAAUAAUCAUGCUGACUGUACCAUUGCAUUAUUCUCAUCCCAAAUAUAAAAGCAUCAUUAUCUUAUCAUUAGAAAAAUUUUCCAUUUAAUAAGAUUUUAUUUGAUAAAUGUAAUGACAUUAAUUCUAUAUAUAUAAACUGUAUGUUUCUUUUUUCGUGACGAAAUAAAGUUUCGUUUAUUUUUUCUGUGUAAAAAAAGAGUAACGAAUUAUUCUGCUUUUUAUAUGUCGCAAAACAAAGAAACUUGCAUAAAAAUUUGGUGGAACUAUUCGAAUAAAACUAAUUCUGUCUUUUUUCGAUCAAAUAGAUCGUUUUUGUAAAACUUGAUCUUAAUACAGAGAAAAAUUAUAUAAAUAUUUAUUUUAUUUAAUUAAAGAAUUCAACAAAUUAUAUUUGCUCUAAAAAUCCAACAAGGAUUUUCCAUUUAUUUCUUUUUAUAUUGAAGUAAAUUAGAUACAUAUAAUACAGAUAUAUAAAUCAAUCAGAUACUAGAUGGAGAUUUUACUUGAUUUACUUAAAAUAAAAUUUAUUUUAAUGUAUUUAGAAAAAUUAAUACCAAUGCAUAUAGCGUCGAACCAUUACACUAUCUAUAAAUAAUCAUGUCAUAUAUAUCAUAUAAUAGAAAAAAAACCUAUCGCUUUAUUUCACAAACCAUAAAAAAAUUUGGUUAUACAAUGCACCAUAAUUAUGUGAUUAUGACUGUAUUAUAUUUAUGUUUGUGAGUGUAUGUAUAUAUUUUGUUUCAUUGUAAUUCAUAUAAAUCACGAAAUAAAGAAAAAAAACAUGUUAGAUAAUUUUAUAAGAUAUGUUUUAUGUGUGAGCUCGUUACUUUUGACUUUUUUAAAUUACGAGUUUAAUUAAUUAAGAGUUUAUAAUUUUAUUAAUUAAAAUAAUUCCAAAUCUUAUUCGCAAAAAUAAUAAACAUUUAAUCUUCAGCAAAUGCAGAUAUUAUAACUUUACUCUGAUACCACAAGGUUUAAAUGACUCUAUUAAAAUUCAACAGAUUUAUUAAAAAAGAAAUAUUUCUUAGAAAAAUUAAAAUUGUAAGCUAUUUUUAUUGUAUUCAUUACACAUUAAGGGGUUUAAGAAACUCUUUUCUAGAUAAGAUUUCCAAGUUCUUACGGAAUCUAAAAGAGCCCAUGACGAUUGAUAUCCACUAAAUGAAAUCAAAUUGAAAGAGAAUUUAGGCCUUUAGACUCUGAGACAAAUAUAUCUAAAGUGUACGUGAACAAUGACAAUUAAGAACAUCGGGCA
Long non-coding RNA from Formica exsecta, 6121 nucleotides. RefSeq lists it as uncharacterized. Lineage: Eukaryota; Metazoa; Arthropoda; Insecta; Hymenoptera; Formicidae. The transcript is spliced from 2 exons. The record is from RefSeq and is a predicted model, not a curated record.